GAGAGAAAGAGAGAAAUGAAAUGAAAAAGAAAGGGAGUGAAGAGACGUGGAGAGGAAGCCUGUCUUGAAGCGCUUGCUUCAAGACAAGCUUUUUUCUUCAUUCUUUUUACCUUUG
RNAcentral lists this non-coding RNA (115 nucleotides) under Chloropicon mariensis. Lineage: Eukaryota; Viridiplantae; Chlorophyta; Chloropicophyceae; Chloropicales; Chloropicaceae. The record is from RNAcentral.